UAUCUCAAAUGUGGUGUUUGGUUUAUCUCAUUUUGCAGAAGUCAAGAAACAGGUUACUCCUGUUUGAGUGAGGAAAAGUUGGUUUGCCUGUCUGUGGUCUUUUUAUAAUCUUUUUCUACAGAAGAGAAAGUGGGUAAUUUUGUUUGAGAGUGGAAAUAUUCUCUAGUGGGAAUCUACUAGGAGUAAUUUAUUUUCUAUAAACUAAGUAAAGUUUGGAAGGUGACAAAAAGAAAGACAAAAAUCUUGGAAUUGUUUUAGACAACCAAGGUUUUCUUGCUCAGAAUGUCUGUUGCCUUGUUAUGGGUUGUUUCUCCUUGUGACGUCUCAAAUGGGACAAGUUUCAUGGAAUCAGUCCGGGAGGGAAACCGUUUUUUUGAUUCAUCGAGGCAUAGGAAUUUGGUGUCCAAUGAGAGAAUCAAUAGAGGUGGUGGAAAGCAAACUAAUAAUGGACGGAAAUUUUCUGUACGGUCUGCUAUUUUGGCUACUCCAUCUGGAGAACGGACGAUGACAUCGGAACAGAUGGUCUAUGAUGUGGUUUUGAGGCAGGCAGCCUUGGUGAAGAGGCAACUGAGAUCUACCAAUGAGUUAGAAGUGAAGCCGGAUAUACCUAUUCCGGGGAAUUUGGGCUUGUUGAGUGAAGCAUAUGAUAGGUGUG
RNAcentral lists this long non-coding RNA (655 nucleotides) under Solanum lycopersicum (tomato). RNAcentral describes it as "long non-coding RNA (SLYC_LNC001272)". The record is from RNAcentral. Lineage: Eukaryota; Viridiplantae; Streptophyta; Magnoliopsida; Solanales; Solanaceae.